CAAAACUAGGGUCGGUAUUGUACACAACGACUCGCACUUCGCCGACUGUCUAUUUAAAACGGUCUGAAGUCGAGGAACCCAAUAACCCACUUUUAUACUUUACCAUCUAUCGUUUGCUUCGUCAUUUGGGUUUUCCGAUUGCAGUAAUGCAUAAAAAACUAGGAAAUGGCUGAUUGUUAAGUGUUGUGUGCGUCCGGCUGUCUUUUUUUU
This 210-nucleotide non-coding RNA is filed under the name Platyscapa corneri. Lineage: Eukaryota; Metazoa; Arthropoda; Insecta; Hymenoptera; Agaonidae. The record is from RNAcentral.